This 669-nucleotide long non-coding RNA is filed under the name Homo sapiens (human). Its description in RNAcentral is "HSALNT0397562". The record is from RNAcentral. Lineage: Eukaryota; Metazoa; Chordata; Mammalia; Primates; Hominidae.
CGCGAAGAAGUACAACAAAGGGCCAACGGGGAGGUCCAACGGUCCGACCCCAGCCGGACUCGAGCUCACUCGGUUGCAGGCGUUAGGCUCCCAGCGGCUCUCAGCCGUUAAGUGGAGAAUGUUCAGGACUGUCGAGGCGCGCUCCGCACCUGGCCUGAAAGCGGGAGAUUUGGCAACCAGUGCGCGUGGGUGCGCCGGCCCUUGCAGCUGGGGACUCUGGAGGCAGACCUUGCCCAAAGCCAGAGGCAGGAACUCCCCAGAUCCUCCCAGGGUAGCAUGGGAGGAUGCCGCCUCCUCCAGGAAGCUCUCUAGCGCUUUUCCGAGUCCUGGAGCCAGGCGGGACUUCUCUGUGGUCGCCUAGAAGGGUAUGAACUUAGGGCAUCCCCAUCUGGGCUGUGAAGGUUUCUGACUUGGGGACCAGGUGCUCAGACCUUCCUGGAUGCUGCUUUCCACAAUAUCUCUACCAGGCAGAGACCAACAAUUGUCAGCACAGCAAAACUGGGCAUUUCUUUUCUUACUGAGCUUUGCAGCUACCUACACAGUUGUGUGUGGCAUCUCCUCCUGGGUGCAAGGACAUGAGAUGACAUCAGCUACGAGCCUAUAUCCUUCAACCCUUGGAAGCCACUGAUCUGCUUUCUGUUUCUAUGGAUCCCCUGUUCUGGACAUUUC